RNAcentral lists this ribosomal RNA (661 nucleotides) under Synalpheus rathbunae. RNAcentral's name for it is "bacterial SSU rRNA". It matches the Rfam family "Eukaryotic small subunit ribosomal RNA", at positions 617 to 1262 of the family's 1831-position model. The record is from RNAcentral. Lineage: Eukaryota; Metazoa; Arthropoda; Malacostraca; Decapoda; Alpheidae.
GCGGUUAAAAAGCUCGUAGUCUGAGGUCUGUUCCGGACUGGNNKNGCAAGCACCGCCCGGUGCUUGCCCGUCAGGUUNGGAACAGCUUCUGCCGCGAGCGGAAGCCAAGCCGGUUCGCCGGGGUGCUCUUGACCGAGUGUCCCGCGCGGCCGGCCGGUUCACCUUGAACAAAUCAGAGUGCUCAAAGCAGGCUAUUCUUCUAGCUAAAGCCAGAAUGUUCACUGCAUGGAAUGAUAAAAGAUGAGUUUGGUUUAAUUUUACUGGCAUUUCCCGAAUUAAUGAUAAACAGAGACUGUCGGGGGCAUCCGUACUACGACGCGAGGGGUGAAAUCCUGUGACCGUCGUAGGACGAACAACAGCGAAAGCAUUUGCCAAGAAUGUCUUCGUUGAUCAAGAACGAAAGUUAGAGGAUCGAAGGCGAUCAGAUACCGCCCUAGUUCUAACCCUAAACGAUGCUGACUAGCACCGUCGUUAUUCCCAUGACGUGGCGGGACGCCCCCGGGAAACCUCAAGUCUUUGAGUUCCGGGGGUAGUAUGGUUGCAAAACUGAAACUUAAAGGAAUUGACGGAAGGGCACCACCAGGAGUGGAGCCUGCGGCUUAAUUUGACUCAACACGGGAAACCUCACCAGGCCCGGACACCAGAAGGAUUGACAGAUUAA